GAUGAACGCUGGCGGCGUGCCUAAUACAUGCAAGUCGAGCGAACAGACGAGGAGCUUGCUCCUCUGACGUUAGCGGCGGACGGGUGAGUAACACGUGGAUAACCUACCUAUAAGACUGGGAUAACUUCGGGAAACCGGAGCUAAUACCGGAUAAUAUAUUGAACCGCAUUGUUCAAUAGUGAAAGACGGUUUUGCUGUCACUUAUAGAUGGAUCCGCGCCGCAUUAGCUAGUUGGUAAGGUAACGGCUUACCAAGGCAACGAUGCGUAGCCGACCUGAGAGGGUGAUCGGCCACACUGGAACUGAGACACGGUCCAGACUCCUAAGGGAGGCAGCAGUAGGGAAUCUUACGCAAUGGGCGAAAGCUUGACGGAGAAACGCCGCGUGAGUGAUGAAGGUCUUCGGAUCGUAAAACUCUGUUAUUAGGGAAGAACAAAUGUGUAAGUAACUAUGCACGUCUUGACGGUACCUAAUCAGAAAGCCACGGCUAACUACGUG
RNAcentral lists this ribosomal RNA (497 nucleotides) under uncultured bacterium. RNAcentral describes it as "partial 16S ribosomal RNA". It matches the Rfam family "Bacterial small subunit ribosomal RNA", at positions 28 to 507 of the family's 1533-position model. The record is from RNAcentral.